CCGAUCAAUCCACACGCCAAGGCUUUUGCAGUCUCCACAUACGAGUCUUCUCCAAAAGACUCGAGUCGAGGUCAAAGUCGGCUACCGGCAAGCCUUUGAUCAUUAGCAUCCCAUCCCUCAUUCUCUUCUUCUCUGUCUCCUCACAAAACUAAAUCAUGCUCCUGGGAGUGAUGAUAAAGCUUGUUGGUCUACUUCUGUACCUGAUAAAACCAGCCACGGCAGGGUGUGAAGCCAUGAGCUGUGGCCGCGUCACAAACAUUAGCCAUCCCUUUUGGCUCCGUGACCCACGGCAACCUCCCUGUGGUGGACUUUCUUCGUUUGAGCUCUCCUGCGAGGAUGGUCUUCCCAUUCUGGUGAGUUCUUACAACAGUUCCUACUACCGUCACGACAUCUUCUACGGGAACAAAUCCUUUUGGGUUAGGAACAAAAAUUUCAACGAUGAAGGCUGCGCUAUUCCCAAUUACGACAUACGGGUGGACCUCCCCGGUUUCUUCAGAGUUAGCGCGGUGAACACAGAGCUCCGCUUCUUCUACAAUUGCUGGGCGCCGCCGCCCAUUUAUACCACAAGAAUAGACUGUGCUAUGGUGACAACUCGACGUCACCGCCGUCACCACCGAACCGAUGCAACACGUCAAGGGCACCGGUUUUGUUGCGAGACGGAGGAGGAGAAAGGAGUAGCACAGAAGACAUCGAGCGUCUCUUCAAGAAUAGAUUUCUGGUGGAGUGGGGAGCAGCCGAUGCUUACUGGGAAUGCACAGUUAGCAACGGACGGUGCAGUCAUGACGAUGCAUCGGCGUCAUUCGUGUGUAUCUUCCCGGACGGACGGCACAGUCCCAGGAAUUGCAGAAAGGGCCAUUUCGCAAAGAGUAUUGCAUUAGGUUCGAUGGCAGGAGUCGUGGGUCUCCUGCUGGCCUUCGCUGCAAUAUUCAUCUACGUGCGGAAAAGGCCCAACCCCUGGCUCAGAUCAAGAAACACACGCGAGGGACACGGACAUGAUUUCUUGGAGAAGUACGAAUCCCUGGUCCCCCAGAGAUACAAGUAUCGAUAUCUAAAGAAGAUAACCAAAUCCUUUGGUGAGAAGGUCGGGCAAGGUGUGUUGGUGUAAAUAACUUUAUGCCGUGGCCUCGGGGCCGACGCUGCUCGGUUGGGGAUCCGAAUGACGGGGAUUUUGCACGGCGUCUCUCGAGAUCUCCCGGUGGCCGAUUACGGUGGUCCGGUUGGGACGCGAUCGGACGUCGCGUCGGGAGGAAAGCUUUGCCGCAGCGUCAGGAAGAGGCGACCCCGUUCUUGCACCUACAUACAGGUCGAGUCGGAAGCUCGGCCCGACCCCUCCGACGAUCAAGUUAGUGGAUGCGGAGGGGAUUUUGUAUGAAGAAAUGCUCUUCUUCUAUUCGUUUAUAACUCGGGGGUAUUUAUAGGUGAGUUUAGUGUUACCUGAUGUGCUUGCCCGCAGGAGCAGGAUCGUACCUCUGAUGGCGUCUGACAUUGCCGCUGGCAUUGCGUGGGGAACCGAACGGUCGCAGGGCAUGGGCGAGCCUCGGUUCUCCCCUGCCUUAGCCAAGUAUGUUGGGUCAGACAACGUUGAAGUCGUCGUCUGGGAGCGGAUAACGUCAGCGCAUAUCGCGUCGACAUUAUUGUCCUCUUUGGGGCAGAGUGUCAUCCGGACGUGGCUGACGUCGUGGCGUAUCAUAUCACCAUUAUUACCCUUAUCAAGGUGGAUUCGGAAGCGUGUUCAAAGGUCAACUUCAAGACGGUCGUCUGGUUGCUGUCAAGAUCUUGAGCAGAUCCAAGGAAGACGAGGAGGAGUUCAUCAACGAAGUCGCCAGCAUCGGCAGGACCGCCCACGUCAACGUCGUCACUCUUCUGGGAUUCUGCCAAUAAGGUCAGAGAAGAGGCUGGUCUACGAGUACAUGCCCAAUGGCUCCCUGGAGAGGUACAUCUACUCCGAUCCGCCCGAGACAUCGCUUCCUUGGGACAAACUGUACCAGAUAACAAUCGGCAUCGCCCGAGGGCUCGAGUAUCUGCAUCAAGGCUGCAACACCCGCAUCGUGCACUUCGACAUCAAGCCUCACAACAUCCUCCUCGAUGAGGAUUUCUGCCCCAAGAUAGCAGACUUCGGGUUGGCGAAACUGUGCCCUAGGAAGGAAAGCAUACUCUCCAUGGCGGAGGCAAGAGGAACGAUAGGGUAAAUGGCGCCGGAAGUGUUCUCCAGGAGCUUUGGAGUGGUUUCGACCAAAUCUGAUGUCUACAGCUACGGAACGAUGGUGUUGGAAAUGGUGGGAAGAAGAAAGAACAUAAAAGCACGUGCAGAUGAUAGGCCGAGCGACGCAUGCUUCCCCCACUCGAUUUACCAGUAUCUGGAUGGAGGUGAAGAUGACCUGCGAGCUGGUGAUGUGACGGCGGAAACGGAGGAGAUCCCGAGGAAGAUGAUGUUGGUUGGGUUGUGGUGCAUACAAACCGCGCCGCCGAAUCGGCCUUCCAUGAGAUGUUGGAAGGAAGCGUCGGUGACAUUGAAAUGCCACCGAAGCCAUAUCUUUGCACUCCUUGAUCAACUGUGCAACUCUUCUUCUUGAUGAUGAGAUUAAGCAAAUCUUUGGUUGGCUCUUGCGUGCAUUAUCAUGCUUAUUGUUUUAGAGUCCAGCAAAAACACCUCUGCUAAUUGUCUGCCAUGGGAAAGCAUUUAGUAGCGUAACAGGA
Musa acuminata AAA Group (dessert banana) is the source of this 2697-nucleotide long non-coding RNA. RefSeq lists it as uncharacterized. The record is from RefSeq and is a predicted model, not a curated record. NCBI's taxonomy places the organism in Eukaryota, Viridiplantae, Streptophyta, Magnoliopsida, Zingiberales, Musaceae. The transcript is spliced from 3 exons.